Lemur catta (Ring-tailed lemur) is the source of this 406-nucleotide long non-coding RNA. RefSeq lists it as uncharacterized. The record is from RefSeq and is a predicted model, not a curated record. Lineage: Eukaryota; Metazoa; Chordata; Mammalia; Primates; Lemuridae. The transcript has 3 exons.
ACUCCGCACAGAGCCCGGGCCCAACAACCACCGCUUCCUACCGCGGGGUCUCCAGGUGCCACAGCUGCUCAGGUGUUUCCGUUGCCCAGCCCCGACCCCUCCAGGGGAGCCUGGUCGGACACCGGGAGUCCACACCGCGGUGUAGACGACGAAGUCACGGUCGCCUCCUUGGCUCCGCUUCUGCUCCUUCUAGCUGACAAGACCCCUACCAUCCGGAACAAAUGACAGGCACCCGAGGUCAUACCUACAAAAGUCUUCCCAGAUGGGGAAGGAAGAUACGCUCUUCUGCGUCUAUAGCAGUGCAUGUCAACCUUGGCAGCGGACAAAGCCAAAGGCCAUUACAUGUUCCCAGGACAUCCGGCUUUUUGAGACAGACACAGGUAUAUAAGGACUCCUCAGGUAAGGC